Molecule: non-coding RNA, 104 nt
Organism: Acanthosepion pharaonis
Lineage: Eukaryota; Metazoa; Mollusca; Cephalopoda; Sepiida; Sepiidae
Source: the annotation of a GenBank genome assembly
AUCACUUUGAAACACCGGUUCUCGUUCGAUCACAGAAGUUAAGCAUCGUCGAGCCUGGUCAGUACCUAGAUAGGUGACCGCCUGGGAAUACCAGGUGCUGUAAG